This 404-nucleotide ribosomal RNA is filed under the name uncultured Methanosaeta sp. RNAcentral's name for it is "bacterial SSU rRNA". It matches the Rfam family "Archaeal small subunit ribosomal RNA", at positions 937 to 1338 of the family's 1478-position model. Lineage: Archaea; Methanobacteriati; Methanobacteriota; Methanomicrobia; Methanotrichales; Methanotrichaceae. The record is from RNAcentral.
CGACAGCAAUAUGAAGGUCAGGCUGAAGACCUUACCCGAUUAGCUGAGAGGUGGUGCAUGGCCGUCGUCAGUUCGUACUGUGAAGCAUCCUGUUAAGUCAGGCAACGAGCGAGACCCACGUCCACAGUUGCCAGCAUACCCUCCGGGGUGAUGGGUACACUGUGGAGACCGCCGCUGCUAAAGCGGAGGAAGGAGUGGGCAACGGUAGGUCAGGUAUGCCCCGAAUCUCCCGGGCUACACGCGGGCUACAAUGGUUGGUACAAUGGGCAUCUACCCCGAAAGGGGAAGGAAAUACUCUUAAAGCCAAUCGUAGUUCGGAUUGAGGGCUGCAACUCGCCCUCAUGAAGCUGGAAUCCGUAGUAAUCGCGUUUCAACAGAACGCGGUGAAUACGUCCCUGCUCCUU